UGAUCUAACCUGCCGCGUGAGUGAUGAAGGCCUUAUGGUCGUAAGCUCUUUCGCCUGUGAUGAUAAUGACAGUAGCAGGUAAAGAAACCCCGGCUAACUCCGUGCCAGCAGCCGCGGUAAUACGGAGGGGGUUAGCGUUGUUCGGAAUUACUGGGCGUAAAGCGCGCGUAAGCGGAUUAGAAAGUUGGGGGUGAAAUCCCGGGGCUCAACCCCGGAACUGCCUCCAAAACUGCUAGUCUAGAGUUCGAGAGAGGUGAGUGGAAUUCCGAGUGUAGAGGUGAAAUUCGUAGAUAUUCGGAGGAACACCAGUGGCGAAGGCGGCUCACUGGCUCGAUACUGACGCUGAGGUGCGAAAGUGUGGGGAGCAAACAGGAUUAGAUACCCUGGUAGUCCACACCGUAAACGAUGAAUGCCAGUCGUCGGGUAGUAUACUAUUCGGUGACACACCUAACGGAUUAAGCAUUCCGCCUGGGGAGUACGGUCGCAAGAUUAAAACU
This 497-nucleotide ribosomal RNA is filed under the name uncultured bacterium. RNAcentral's name for it is "bacterial SSU rRNA". It matches the Rfam family "Bacterial small subunit ribosomal RNA", at positions 384 to 901 of the family's 1533-position model. The record is from RNAcentral.